Molecule: long non-coding RNA, 1476 nt
Organism: Felis catus (domestic cat)
Lineage: Eukaryota; Metazoa; Chordata; Mammalia; Carnivora; Felidae
Exons: 3
Source: RefSeq, a predicted model, not a curated record
UAUACUCUUUUGCAUAACCACACGGUGAGGUCAUAUGUUUAGGACACCAUUGUUCCAUCACCAUGGAGAUGACGAGAUGUCAAAGCACUGGCAAGAAGCCUCCCAUGCAGGAUGAAGCCAAGGAAGAAGAUGAAGAAAAGAGAGGAAGGACCUGCACAUUAGCCAGAGGACUCAAAACAUCCCAAGAAGCUCAUGAGGUCAUCCUCAUUCACAUAGUUUCCCAGGUGUCAGAUCUGUUUCGAAAGCACAUAACCUUCCAGUCCAGCCCAGCAUGUAGCCACAGUCCACAGGCAGCACCUAAAACUCGGAAGAGCUUGCGAGAGGCAGUGACUACAGUGGAAAGUGCACAGAGCAGAGAAGAAGACUGGGCUCCAGACCAGCUGUGGCCCUCGAGCUGCCUGCCUUCAGCCCUUGCUUCUCCAUUAGCUCUGCUCCAGUCAAGCCACAGGCUGAAGGACUCAAGCAUGACUUCACACUCUUCAUUCUGCGGGAUGUUUCUUCAAGACUUGUCACAGGGAUAGGCAUGCGCACAGGGAGGACACCAUGUGGAGAUGAAGGCAGAGAUCAGGUGAUGUUUCUACAAGCCAAAGAAGGCCAGAGAUUGCCAGCAAACCACCAGCAGCCAGGGAAGAGGCAUGGAAUGAAUUCUUCCUUCAACCUUUAGAAGGAAGCAACCAGACUUCUGGACUUCAGAACUGUGAGACAAUAAAAUACUUGUGCUGUGUAAGCCACCCAGCUUGUGGCACUUUGUUACAGCAGCUCUAGCAGACUUACACACAGUGCUUUCCCUCAAUGGCCUCCGGCACCAUAAUCUCCUGGUUCUCCUUGCUUUACAAACCCUCCUCAGGACCCUUAGCUGACCCUGCUCAUGCCUGGCUAAUUUCUCUAUAUAGCUCAGCAACCCACCACCUUGUUUUCUCUGCCUAUACUCUUCCUGCAUGAUUUUGAAUAAUCCCUCAGGGCUUUAGAAACCACAUAUAUGCCCAUUUUAAAUCGACCUCUCCUAGACUUACAGCUGCAGCUACCUACUUGGCAUCUCCCCGUGAAUGCCCGACAAGCAUCUCAAACCUAGCUCCAAAACCCGCACCCAAGCAGCUGAGCCACAGACUGGGUCGCCGGUCCCAGGGAGAGUAGCACAUCUCAGCCAAGUCUCGGAAAAAUUGAAGCUGUGCCCUGGAAGAAAGUCAUAUGUUCUCCUGGCAUGUUGAUGCUACAGGAUUUGAGUCCCAGCAAGUGCUGGGUAUUCAAGGUACAAUGGAGAACACGACAAAUACUACUCCUGUCUUCUUGGAGUUCUUGGAGCCCUAACUGAUGCUUCCCCCACAGUAUUUCCACCAGCCUAUGAAAACAAAUUAUACAGCAUGACUGGCAGACAAUCUCUCAGCAUUACUAAUAUAUAGGUCUAAAUCUGCAUGUAAAGGACAGUACCUCUUACUUUUAUGUUUCAAAGCUAAUAAACCAGGACUUGGGGUAAGG